CUCUCUCCCUCACACUCCCUCCUUCUCCCUCUCUCAAGCGGCGUAGAAUCCUGGCUGUGUUUAAUUGUCGAGUGGCGAGAUCUAAAGGGAGAGAUCGGGAAUCACAUGGAGCCGCUGCGUCUGUCAGCGCUUUACGAGCCCCAGCCCCGACAGAGGCGCGGAGAGGAGCCGUAGGAAGGAAGUGUUUGGGAGCGGGGAAUUUUUUUUUUAACGCAGUGGAAGGUGUAGACAGAGGUGAAAGACUGUAGGAGAGUUGGAGAAGAAGAAAAAAGGGAAAAGAAAAGAGGCCCACCGUUUGGAGGAAAGGGCAAUAAGCAGAGAAAAAAAGUGGGAAAACAAGAGUUAGAAAAACCAGAGGAAGGAAGGGGGAGGUGAGAGAGAGACGGCAGAACAAAAAAAAAAAAGUUUGGGAAUAGGGAAGUGCAAGAGAGAGAGGGAGACAGUUAUACGCAGAUGAGAAAAGCAGACGCAGGGAAGUGGAUGGAGCAAGAAACUGUUGUUUUUUUAGUUCUUUAGGUCGGGGAAUGCACUCGGAGGAUACAGCGACGGGAUUACGAACGCCUUCCUGCCACUUUUGCCUGCAGCAGGAAUCCAGACGCACUAUUGAGGGAUCAUGUCUGCGCAUGGAGCCCACAGUGGCACCGUUUCCAAAGGAAUUAUGGAUAGACGGAGCACACACGACUGGUGUUUAUCCACCAAAACAAGUUUACACCGAGGAACUACGACAUCCGUGUUACUCCAGAUGGGAUCCUCCAUGUGUGCGAGAAAUACAAAGGGAAUGCGGAUGCAUCCAGAGAUGGUAUUACCCUGAGAUUGCAUAUCCCUACAAUGGUGAUCAUGUUUGGAGAGUUAGAGGUCAGCACUAUUAUGGCCACCUAUCAGAAUUUCAGCAAUGCACAAGACGACGGGUUUCUUUUAGGCAUCCCCAAGAGGAGAGACCUGCGCUCAUCAGACAAUCGCUAUCAAGUCCUGGAAAGCUGCACUGUAACGGGACGACCUCCGAACAAGCGUUUUUUCCCACCGAAGUGCCCUCCAGUAAGUUAAUCCGCUCAGGACCGCAGCGGGACGUAAAAAAGACGUUUCAUGGGGACUCAAAGAGUCUGGAGGGUCGAGGGAAUCAGAGGAAGAGCCAGGGAACCGUACGGGAACAGAUCAAACAAGUGGUCAAUGAGCUGGAGGAAGUGCUGGGUGGUCUCAAACAGGUCCAGUUGGAGAUGAAAGAGGUCGUCCAACAGAUUGACGUUCUGACGUCCAACAUUGACCUCAGUGAAGAGCAACCAACACCAUCCAAUGGACUUCCACAAGAUGCCAUGAGAAGCAGUCAGACAGACGUUGUGGCUUUAAUACAUCAUUCAAAUGGAGAUGAAAACGACACGUCAACAUCCAGUUCCUCUCUCACGCACAGCCCUUCGGAUUUACUCCACAUUAACAGCCCUUCACCAAUGAGAAACCACUCAAACUCGUCCCCUACUAAACAACAUGACAUUAACAUUGAGGAUAAAAGCAGCAAACACAGCUCAGAGACUCAAAGGACUCACAGGACGGCCAACGGAAACUGCGUAGCACAUCGAAUAGCUAAGAAAGUCCAACUGGAAACCCACAAACCCCCUAUAGUCCCAGUGGUGUGCACUAAUAACUCCAAUAAAACCCACCGGCCGCCGCCUUAUCCUCAGAACGGACAGGUGAAAAUGAGGACGCCUCCUUAUCCAGGAAAACAUAAGACGCUGUCGUCCACUGUGGUGUAAGGAUACCAAACUAACUCAAGCUUUACUCAAAGAGGACAACACACUUACUGUCAAACAUCAUGUAUAUACUCACAGAUUCAUGCUCACACACACUUUAACCCAUCAGCGAGUAAAUCAUUGAUGGUGAUGAAACUCAGGGGACUGAUGCCACACAACCCAGCUGACCCAUAGCGGAGGAUGGAGGAAAACCGGGGCUGAUGGGCAGUGACUGUAUUUCCAAUGGAAAACUCCAGAAACAUCUCAAAACACACACAUUCACACACACAUACACCUGCUGAAAACUAGUUUAGAGCAACUUAAACGUUAUGAAAUGACAACCAAAGUUUAUUUACUUAGGAUGUAUUUCUGAUUGAAACAGGAAGUCAAUGAGGGAACGAUUGGUCAAAGGGGGUGGGGUUAUAAAGCAGUAGGUUUAUUUAGAGGCGGAGCAAGUUGUUAUAUUUUGAGGAAAGAUUAUGAAAAUUGAUUUGCAUCACUAGCUGGGUCUCCAUCCAUCUGUUUUUAAAGCUGCAGUAGGUGAUCAGCCAAAAUGCUAUUCGUUACCGUAUGUUCACACCGAAAACGACGAGAGCGUUAAAAUAGCCGGAAGUCGUUCAUUUUCAAUGAGAGUCUUCGGCGAAAAGCGCCGAGGAGCAGCGC
Danio rerio (zebrafish) is the source of this 2384-nucleotide non-coding RNA. The record is from RefSeq and is a predicted model, not a curated record. NCBI's taxonomy places the organism in Eukaryota, Metazoa, Chordata, Actinopteri, Cypriniformes, Danionidae.